Molecule: ribosomal RNA, 510 nt
Filed under: uncultured bacterium
Lineage: Bacteria
Description: partial 16S ribosomal RNA
Rfam family: Bacterial small subunit ribosomal RNA
Source: RNAcentral
GACGAACGCUGGCGGCGUGCCUAAUACAUGCAAGUCGAGCGAAUGACGAGAAGCUUGCUUCUCUGAUUUAGCGGCGGACGGGUGAGUAACACGUGGGCAACCUGCCCUACAGAUUGGGAUAACUCAGGGAAACCUGGGCUAAUACCGGAUAAUCCUUCGAAUCACAUGUUUUGAAGUUGAAAGGCGCUUCGGCGUCACUGUAGGAUGGGCCCGCGGUGCAUUAGCUAGUUGGUGGGGUAACGGCCUACCAAGGCAACGAUGCAUAGCCGACCUGAGAGGGUGCUCGACCACAUGGGGACUGAGACACGGCCCAAACUCCUACGGGAGGCAGCAGUAGGGAAUAUUCCACAAUGGACGAAAGUCUGAUGGAGCAACGCCGCGUGAGUGAUGAAGGUUUUCGGAUCGUAAAACUCUGUUCUAAGGGAAGAACAAGUACAUUAGGAAAUGAACGAACCUUGACGGUACCUUAUUAGAAAGCCACGGCUAACUACGUGCCAGCAGCCGCCGUAA